Molecule: ribosomal RNA, 420 nt
Filed under: Triticum aestivum (bread wheat)
Lineage: Eukaryota; Viridiplantae; Streptophyta; Magnoliopsida; Poales; Poaceae
Description: partial small subunit ribosomal RNA
Source: RNAcentral
AUGGCUCCUACUGAGGCUGAGGCUGAUGUAGAGGAGGGAGAAGAGAAGAAGAAGAGGGAAAGGAAAGCAGCCGGAGCUGCUUUCACGUGGAUUCAAACUCACUUUGCGACGUGCCCUCUGGAUGCCACUGAUGAUGUGAUCCAGACACAUGCUCGUGUCUACAUGUGGUAUGUUGUGUCGAGGACUUUGUUUCCUGACUCCACUGGCAAGAACGCUCCAUGGAUGUGGCUGAAGGCGUUGACCGUCUUCGAUAGCAAAUGGAGCUGGGGUUCAGCGACUCUUGCCUACUUGUACCGACAGGUAGUUGGUCUGUUUUGUGAUCAACUCAUUUCUUCAUUAGCAAUGCAAGCUUCCUGUCAAGUUAACAUUGUUUUUCUUUCAUAUACAGCUGGACGAUGCGUGUUGCAGGAUCACAGAUAG